Molecule: ribosomal RNA, 606 nt
Filed under: Stereum sp. Calem
Lineage: Eukaryota; Fungi; Basidiomycota; Agaricomycetes; Russulales; Stereaceae
Description: eukaryotic LSU rRNA
Rfam family: 5.8S ribosomal RNA (bases 202-355)
Source: RNAcentral
GGAAGGAUCAUUAAUGAAAUUUAUGACUGGAGUUGUAGCUGGCCUUUAAAAACGGCAUGUGCACGCUCCUUUCACUAAUCCACACACACCUGUGCACCUUCGCGGGGGUCUCUUCGUUAACUCGAAGAGGCUCGCGUCCCUUUACACACCCUUUGUAUGUCUUAAGAAUGUCUACUCGAUGUAAUAAAACGCAUCUAAUACAACUUUCAACAACGGAUCUCUUGGCUCUCGCAUCGAUGAAGAACGCAGCGAAAUGCGAUAAGUAAUGUGAAUUGCAGAAUUCAGUGAAUCAUCGAAUCUUUGAACGCACCUUGCGCCCUUUGGUAUUCCGAAGGGCACACCUGUUUGAGUGUCGUGAAAUUCUCAACCCUCUUCACUUUUGUGAACGUAGUGGAUUGGACUUGGAGGCUUUGCCGGGCUUCACCGCUCGGCUCCUCUCAAAUGCAUUAGUGCGUCUUGUUGCGACGUGCGCCUCGGUGUGAUAAUUAUCUACGCUGUGGUGUGCUUGCUUCUGUGGAGACGCGCUUUCUAACCGUCCGAAAGGACAGCUUUCAUCGAACUUUGACCUCAAAUCAGGUGGGACUACCCGCUGAACUUAAGCAUAUC